GGGGAAUAUUGGGCAAUGGGCGAAAGCCUGACCCAGCAACGCCGCGUGAGGGAAGAAGGUCUUCGGAUUGUAAACCUCUGUCCUUGGGGACGAAGGAUGUGACGGUACCCAAGGAGGAAGCUCCGGCUAACUACGUGCCAGCAGCCGCGGUAAUACGUAGGGAGCGAGCGUUGUCCGGAAUUACUGGGCGUAAAGGGUGCGUAGGCGGCAUGGCAAGUCAGAUGUGAAAGCCCCGGGCUUAACUCGGGAACUGCAUUUGAAACUGCUGUGCUUGAGUGCAGGAGAGGAAAGCGGAAUUCCUAGUGUAGCGGUGAAAUGCGUAGAUAUUAGGAGGAACACCAGUGGCGAAGGCGGCUUUCUGGACUGCAACUGACGCUGAGGCACGAAAGCGUGGGGAGCAAAC
Molecule: ribosomal RNA, 403 nt
Filed under: uncultured bacterium
Lineage: Bacteria
Description: bacterial SSU rRNA
Rfam family: Bacterial small subunit ribosomal RNA
Source: RNAcentral